GUGUCAGCAGCCGCGGUAAGACAGGGGCCUCGAGCGUUAAUCGGAAUUACUGGGCUUAAAGGGUGCGUAGGCGGGCCUGCAAGUGCUUUGUGAAAUCCCCCGGCUCAACCGGGGAACUGCGGGGCAUACUGCGGGUCUUGAGGAAGGUAGGCGCCGAGGGAACAGUAGGUGGAGCGGUGAAAUGCGUAGAUAUCUACUGGAACGCCGAUGGUGAAGACGCUCGGCCGGGCCUUUCCUGACGCUGAGGCACGAAAGCGUGGGGAGCAAACAGGAUUAGAAACCCCUGUAGUCC
Molecule: ribosomal RNA, 292 nt
Filed under: uncultured bacterium
Lineage: Bacteria
Description: partial 16S ribosomal RNA
Rfam family: Bacterial small subunit ribosomal RNA
Source: RNAcentral